RNA transcript from Carcharodon carcharias (great white shark), 760 nucleotides. It is a transcript of the gene named sterile alpha motif domain-containing protein 12-like, with no coding region annotated. The record is from RefSeq and is a predicted model, not a curated record. The transcript has 6 exons. NCBI's taxonomy places the organism in Eukaryota, Metazoa, Chordata, Chondrichthyes, Lamniformes, Lamnidae.
GAGCUCCGGGUAGAGAGCCAGGUGUGUGAGCACCGUGAGCUCCGGGUGCAGAGCCAGGUGUGUGAGCUCCGGGUAGAGAGCCAGGUGUGUGAGCUCCGGGUGCAGAGCCAGGUGUGUGAGCUCCGGGUGCAGAGCCAGGUUACAGCCUGUUAUUGAUCUUGGGACUUUAUUUCAGAACCACAUAUUUGUCAUUCAGUAAUGGACUGUGAAGAUGUCCCAGAGCCACAUUUUGAACCCUGCCAAACAAAACCAGUGCAUCACCAUGACCACCAUUUACAGACUUUACCUGUUAGUAACUCUGGGAAUCAGCUUGAACUUGAAGAAUGUAAGAUUCGAGUAGUGCAAAACAGAUCAAUGCAAAAUAAGCCUGUUGCCUUGUGGACAGAGGAUGAAGUGUGCAAGUGGAUUAGAAGCCAAUAUCCAAGUCAAAGCUCCAUUUUUGUAGAAGCAAUAUCUGAACAUGCAAUCUCAGCUCCUUAAUCAAGAUGGAGGGCAAGCAAUCUGCUCUCCCUUCAAUGCCAAUGCUGACAUUUGCCAAUUAUGGAAAAGGCCCAAGGACGUGCUUUGUUGAGGCUCACUGCUGGAAAGUUGGAACAAAUGGGCAUUGCCCAGGAGAGCCAUCGUCAAUCAUUGCUUAAGGAAAUAUUGCAACUGCGUAUACAAGAUGAUGUGGAAAGUCUGAGUGCUGCCUUUGCAGAUGGACAUUAAAGACCCAAUGCCUGGCAGCUGUUCUGGCCAACUUUCCUCCUUGGACCCUAAA